UACGGGAGGCAGCAGUGGGGAAUAUUGCACAAUGGGCGCAAGCCUGAUGCAGCCAUGCCGCGUGUAUGAAGAAGGCCUUCGGGUUGUAAAGUACUUUCAGUCGUGAGGAAGGUGUUAAGGUUAAUAACCUUAGCAAUUGACGUUAGCGACAGAAGAAGCACCGGCUAACUCCGUGCCAGCAGCCGCGGUAAUACGGAGGGUGCGAGCGUUAAUCGGAAUUACUGGGCGUAAAGGGCACGCAGGCGGUUAAUUAAGUUGGAUGUGAAAUCCCCGGGCUUAACCUGGGAAUGGCAUUCAAGACUGGUUAGCUAGAGUCUUGUAGAGGGGGUAGAAUUCCGAUGUGUAGCGGUGAAAUGCGUAGAGAUGUGGAGGAAUACCGGGUGGCGAAGGCGGCCCCUGGGACAAAGACUGACGCUCAUGUGCGAAAGCGUGGGGAGCAAACAGGGAUUAGAUACC
Molecule: ribosomal RNA, 456 nt
Filed under: uncultured bacterium
Lineage: Bacteria
Description: bacterial SSU rRNA
Rfam family: Bacterial small subunit ribosomal RNA
Source: RNAcentral